RNAcentral lists this microRNA precursor (103 nucleotides) under Marmota monax (woodchuck). Lineage: Eukaryota; Metazoa; Chordata; Mammalia; Rodentia; Sciuridae. The record is from RNAcentral.
AUAGGAAUAGCUGGGCCAAAUGGUGGUUCCAUUUCCAGUUUUCCAAGGAAUCUCCAUACUACUUUCCAAAUUGGCUGCACCAAUUUGCAGUCCCACCAGCAGU